GAUGAAGAACGCAGCAAAAUGCGAUAAGUAAUGUGAAUUGCAGAAUUCAGUGAAUCACCGAAUCUUUGAACGCACAUUGCGCCCGCUGGUAUUCCGGCGGGCAUGCCUGUUCGAGCGUCAUUUCAACCCUCAAGCCCCCGGGUUUGGUGUUGGGGAUCGGCUCUGCCUUCUGGCGGUGCCGCCCCCGAAAUACAUUGGCGGUCUCGCUGCAGCCUCCAUUGCGUAGUAGCUAACACCUCGCAACUGGAACGCGGCGCGGCCAUGCCGUAAAACCCCAACUUCUGAAUGUUGACCUCGGAUCAGGUAGGAAUACCCGCUGAACUUAAGCAUAUCAAUAAGCGGAGGA
Molecule: unclassified non-coding RNA, 346 nt
Filed under: soil metagenome
Description: partial contains 5.8S ribosomal RNA, internal transcribed spacer 2, and large subunit ribosomal RNA
Rfam family: 5.8S ribosomal RNA (bases 1-120)
Source: RNAcentral